Molecule: small nucleolar RNA, 136 nt
Organism: Hippopotamus amphibius kiboko
Lineage: Eukaryota; Metazoa; Chordata; Mammalia; Artiodactyla; Hippopotamidae
Product: small nucleolar RNA SNORA70
Exons: 1
Source: RefSeq, a predicted model, not a curated record
UUGCAGCCAACUAAGCCCACUGUGCUCUUUUCCCCAUGGGAGCACAGUGUGCAAAUGGCUGCAAACAGCAGCGUUCUCAGUAGUGCAUGCAGCCAGUUGCCUGUACAGGUUGCUCUAAGGGAUCUUGGAGACAGCC